This 253-nucleotide ribosomal RNA is filed under the name uncultured bacterium. Its description in RNAcentral is "partial 16S ribosomal RNA". It matches the Rfam family "Bacterial small subunit ribosomal RNA", at positions 524 to 776 of the family's 1533-position model. The record is from RNAcentral.
UACGUAGGGGGCAAGCGUUAUCCGGAUUUACUGGGUGUAAAGGGAGCGUAGACGGCUGUGCAAGUCAGAUGUGAAAUCCACGGGCUCAACCCGUGAACUGCAUUUGAAACUGUUUCCCUUGAGUGUCGGAGAGGUAAUCGUAAUUCCUUGUGUAGCGGUGAAAUGCGUAGAUAUAAGGAAGAACACCAGUGGCGAAGGCGGAUUACUGGACGAUAACUGACGGUGAGGCGCGAAAGCGUGGGGAGCAAACAGG